Molecule: ribosomal RNA, 253 nt
Filed under: uncultured bacterium
Lineage: Bacteria
Description: partial 16S ribosomal RNA
Rfam family: Bacterial small subunit ribosomal RNA
Source: RNAcentral
UACGUAGGGUGCGAGCGUUAAUCGGAAUUACUGGGCGUAAAGGGCUCGUAGGCGGCCAACUAAGUCGGAUGUGAAAUCCCCAGGCUUAACCUGGGAACUGCAUCCGAUACUGGAUGGCUUGAAUCCGGGAGAGGGAUGCAGAAUUCCAGGUGUAGCGGUGAAAUGCGUAGAUAUCUGGAGGAAUACCUGUGGCGAAAGCGGCGCACUGGACCACAACUGACGCUGAGGCGCGAAAGCUAGGGGAGCAAACAGG